CUCUGUUCUAUUAAACCAGGUCAACACUGUUCUAUUAAACCAGUACAACACUGUUCUAUUAAACCAGGUCAACUCUGUUCUAUUAAACCAGGUCAACACUGUUCUAUUAAACCAGGUCAACACUGUUACCAGAUCAACACUGUUCUAUUA
Long non-coding RNA from Oncorhynchus keta (chum salmon), 150 nucleotides. RefSeq lists it as uncharacterized. The transcript has 3 exons. The record is from RefSeq and is a predicted model, not a curated record. Lineage: Eukaryota; Metazoa; Chordata; Actinopteri; Salmoniformes; Salmonidae.